Molecule: long non-coding RNA, 1076 nt
Organism: Cucumis sativus (cucumber)
Lineage: Eukaryota; Viridiplantae; Streptophyta; Magnoliopsida; Cucurbitales; Cucurbitaceae
Exons: 3
Source: RefSeq, a predicted model, not a curated record
AGGGAAAAAAGAUAGGAUAGGAUUUGGAAUGCAAUGCAAAUGGAAAUGCAUCAUAAACAAGGUAAAGAAAGGGCAGAGCGAGCAGCAUGCAGUUUAAUUUUCAUAUACUGUCUGUCAUAUAUGGUCAGUACUGAGUCAGACAAAAAAAGAAAGAAAGAAAAAAAAGGAGGAAGAGGUUGCCAAUACAAUACAGACAGAAGAAACAACCAAUUUAACCCUUGUUGCUUUGUCUUCUUCCUUUGGUCUUUUGAUUCCUCUCUUCCAUUUGUCUUUCCAAACAACCAUACAUCAUACAUAUAACUUAUUAUUAUAUUAUAUUAAUCAAACCCAAAAGUACCAACACUUCUCUCUCUAGUACUACUCUCUGAUCUACUGCAACACUGUUCAAUUCAAACCCACACAACGUCUAAUUUCAACAUUCAUCUAUUGGUACAAUAGAUGGAGCUGGCGGUUGUGCUUCCAUUUAACUUAAAUCACCCAGUUUUAGUUCAUCAUUAAUUAAGUUUGUGUAGAAAUGAAGAUUGGCAGUUAUUGAUCCCGGGGAUGGAUGGAGGAGGUGGUGGUGGUGGAUGGUCUUCCACAGAAUUUGAAGCUCUCUGGGAACUUAAAACAGCCUUUCCAAAAGCGCGCAGCGGAAAUGGGAGAGAGUGUGGUGGUUUUGUGAAAUGACUGCGCCAGGAAGUUUAAAGUGAGGUGGUGAUAAAUGGUUUUGGAUAGAAGAUCUGAAAACAUACAUACAUAUAUAUAUAUAUAUAUAUGUAUGUAUGUAUGUAUAUUUUGUAGUGAGGAACAAAGACAGAGGUUAGGUAAUGAUCCGACAAAUUAAUGACUGACAAUGAGAUUCAAAAGUUUGAAAAUCAGCAUAUUCCAUCUUCCUUGUUGCCAUUCCCUAUUUUUUUUUUCUUUUAACAUUUUGUAAUAUAAAUGCAACGAAUCUUACGAAUGAUCUGAAUAUUCAUGAACUUCUUUCUAUGUUCUUGGAAGGUGACAGAUAUAUAUAUAUAUAUAUAGAUGUGGAAGAAGAAAAGACAACUUAGAGGUCUACAUUUUGGCUUCUCUCAUCAGAUUUAACCUCA